AUGUCUUCCUCCACCUCCUCCUUCCAGCCAACCCUCAGCGGAGGAGUCACGGAGAAACUUUCCCGCACCAACUACAUCCUGUGGCGAACUCAGAUCACGCCGCAGCUGCGGGGCGCCGGUGUCUACCACUACGUCGACGGCACGUCGACCGAGCAAGCCAAAACCCACGUCACCAAAGAUGCCGCUGGGAAAGAAACUACGGGGCCGAACCCUCUUCAUCCGCUCUGGGUGAAGGAGGAUCAACAAGUCCUUGGAUAG
Molecule: ribosomal RNA, 258 nt
Filed under: Triticum aestivum (bread wheat)
Lineage: Eukaryota; Viridiplantae; Streptophyta; Magnoliopsida; Poales; Poaceae
Description: partial small subunit ribosomal RNA
Source: RNAcentral